GGGUCAAGCUAUCUAGUCAUGUAGGCAUAUGAAUGCACAACAAGGGAUCUCUAACCUUCCAUGGUGGAGGGAGAAUACUCUAAGAUAUGAUUCUAAAGUCUUUGGCCAAAGCAAAUGAAUAUGACUUAGGAAGUUUGUUCCAAAUCAUAUUCAAAGGAAUCAUAUAGGAAAGUAUCACAUUGGAUAGUAGACAUGAAACAAAC
This 203-nucleotide long non-coding RNA is filed under the name Malus domestica (apple). Its description in RNAcentral is "long non-coding RNA (MDOM_LNC020378)". The record is from RNAcentral. Lineage: Eukaryota; Viridiplantae; Streptophyta; Magnoliopsida; Rosales; Rosaceae.